RNAcentral lists this ribosomal RNA (253 nucleotides) under uncultured bacterium. RNAcentral describes it as "partial 16S ribosomal RNA". It matches the Rfam family "Bacterial small subunit ribosomal RNA", at positions 524 to 776 of the family's 1533-position model. The record is from RNAcentral.
UACGUAGGUGGCAAGCGUUGUCCGGAUUUACUGGGCGUAAAGGAUGCGUAGGCGGACAUUUAAGUCAGAUGUGAAAUACCCGAGCUUAACUUGGGUGCUGCAUUUGAAACUGGGUGUCUAGAGUGCAGGAGAGGUAAGUGGAAUUCCUAGUGUAGCGGUGAAAUGCGUAGAGAUUAGGAAGAACACCAGUGGCGUAGGCGACUUACUGGACUGUAACUGACGCUGAGGCAUGAAAGCGUGGGGAGCAAACAGG